This 674-nucleotide long non-coding RNA is filed under the name Salmo salar (Atlantic salmon). RNAcentral describes it as "lncRNA (ENSSSAG00000083193.1)". Lineage: Eukaryota; Metazoa; Chordata; Actinopteri; Salmoniformes; Salmonidae. The record is from RNAcentral.
GACAGAGUUCACUGGUGUUGGUGUGUGAAGAGACAGAGUUCACUGGUGUUGGUGUGUGAAGUGAGACAGAGUUCACUGGUGUUGGUCUGUGAAGAGAGAGAGAGUUCACUGGUGUUGGUGUGUGAAGAGAGAGAGAUUUCACUGGUGUUGGUGUGUGAAGAGAGAGAGAGAGAAGAUUCACUAGUGUUGGUGUGUGAAAAGAGAGAGUUCACUGGUGUUGGUGUGUUAAGAGAGAGAGUUCACUGGUGUUGGUGUGUGAAGGGAGAGAGAGUUCACUGGUGUUGGUGUGUGAAGCGAGAUAGUUCACUAGUCUUGGUGUGUGAAGAGAGAGAGUUCACUGGUGUUGAUGUGUGAAGAGAGAGAGUUCACUAGUGUUGGUGUGUGAAGAGAGAGAGUUCACUGGUGUUGGUGUGUGAAGAGAAAGAGUUCACUGGUGUUGGUGUGUGAAGCGAGAGAGAGUUCACUGGUGUUGGUGUGUGAAGCAAGAUAGUUCACUAGUGUUGGUGUGUGAAGAGAGAGAGUUCACUGGUGUUGGUGUGUGAAGAGAGAGAGUUCACUGGUGUUGGUGUGUGAAGGGAGACAGAGUUCACUGGUGUUUGGUGUGUGAAGACAGAGAGUUCACUGGUGUUGGUGUGUGAAUGGAGACAGAGUUCACUGGUGUUGGUGUGUGAAGA